GGACACUCACGUCGGGGAUGUGGCAGAGGCCUUGGGGUGGGCUCUGGACUCUCACAUCGGAGAUGUGGCAGAGGCCUCGGGUGGGCGUGCACAGGAAAGGCAUUGGCCUCAAGUACUCCGUGGACCUGGCUGGCCCUGCCCGCCGCACUCCUUCACACAGGUUCUUUAUUGCCAUUGUCCCCGCCCGCAUCAAAGGAUCCCAGCAUGCUUCCCACAGCCUGGAAUUCCUUUGCUGGGAAUGGGAGACAAAGCCAUACUUUCUAUCAUCAGAGAGGAAAGGCCCAAAAUGCAAACAUGCAGCCAGAGAGAGGCUGUGGCAGGCAGGAGUUUCUGAGUAGGGAGUGUCAGAUCCCCUCCUACUGAGUGCCACUUUCCCUUCUGAGACAGCAUGGGAGCCGUCAGCCUACGAACUGGAGAGAACUCCAGGAAGGAGCCCUUUUCUUCCUGCAAUGAGGGCAACCGGAAGCUGUGGCCACGGCACCUGCUGUCCCCGGAGCCUGGGCACCGACGUAAGGGAGGAAGGCGGCGCCUCCCUUUUCCCCUGCCCUGGCCACAGGAGCCUCAGGAUUGACAGCUCAUCUGCGGAUGGCAGAAGGAAGAAGGAUGAGGAAGACUUGAGCCUGGCCGGGCAAUCCUUGGUUUCCUCAUGAACCCUUGCAAUCGGGUUACAUUUUGAACAUCACUGGGACAUGCUAAGAACUCCUCUGGAGCACAGCAGUGCUCACAUCAAUAGUCCAGCAGAUUGAGCACGGAGAUGUCAGCAGACACACUUGCAAGUUUGGUCUGAAAACCAGAGGGACCGUGCCCACGAUCCCCGCCGUUUCCCUGACCAGCACGGCUGUGGCGAGUUCGUUGUUCAAUCCCGGAUGGCUCAGCAAAUCCAACCCCCUCCGCCCUGUUCUAUCGCCGCAUGGAUCUGCAGAGGCAGCCGUUCCUGCCGGGUGGAUUUGCCUUCCGCGAAGGACAACACAGAACCACUCUGAGUUAUUUGACACUGACAUCGAUCCUAGUUGGCUGACUCUGGAUUCAAACGAACUCAGAGUAGCGAGAUCAGAAUACAUGAAUCUGACCUGUUUUUACUCACAACACCUCUGAUACCAAGUGCGUGGGUUUUUUUCACACCGAAAACCAGUUCUCCCAACUCUCCAGACACCAACUGGGUGGCCUACGAUUCCGUUCAAACGUGACACUAACUCCACAGGCUCCGAGGCUCAGUCCCUCAGGACUGCCCUGAGUUCAGACGCCAGCCUCCUGACUCCAGCCCAGGGUACCCACACUUCUGUCCAACUUGGCUACAAAGUUGGGGGUUUCCUACAUUCCCCCCACCCUCCCUCCCAGUUUCACAUUCAGUAAUUUGCUAGAACAGCUCACAGAACUCAGGAAGGCACUUUACUGGUACUGGUUUAUUAUUAAUAUAAAGCAUUGGACUCAGAACAGCCAGAUGGAAAAGAUGCUUAGGACGAGGUGAGGGGGGUGGAAGGCCAAGGGGCUUCCUCAUCCUCUCCAGGCUGCCACCCCUCCCAACACACCUCCAUGUGUUCACCAACCCAGAAAUUCUCCACAUUUUUUUUUUUGAGUCAGCGUCUUGCUCUGUCACCCAGGCUGGAGCGCAGUGGCACGGUCUCGGCUCACUGCAACCUCUGCUUCCUGGGUUCAAGCAAUUCUCCUGCCUCAGCCUCCCGAGCAGCUGGGAUGACAAGUGUCUGCCACAUGUCUGGCUAAUUUUUGUACCUUUAGUAGAGACGGGGUUUCACCAUGUUGACCAGGCUGGUCUCAAACUCCUGACCUCCAGUGAUCCACCCACCUCGGCCUCCCAGUGCUGGGAUUACAGGUGUGAGCCACCCUGCCUGGCUCACAUUCUGUCAUUUGGGGCUCUUUUUUUUUUUUUUUUUGGAUUCAUUAUGUAGGCAUGAUUGAUUAAUCACUGGCUGUUGGUGAUUAACUUAAUCUCCAGCCCCUCUCCCCUCCCCAAAGGUCAGAGGUCUGAGCUGAAAGUUCUGACUAAUUCCAGCUCCCAGCCCCCAUCCUGGAGCUGCCCAGUCCUCUCACUGACAUUCAAAAAACACUCAUCCCUCUGGAGAUCCCAAGGGUUUUGGAAGCUCUGGACCAGAAAACAGGAUCAAAGACCAAAUAUGCAGCCACGGCCCCAUCCACCUCUGAGGGCAUGUGCUCUGGCCUUACUAUGACGGCGGCGGUGGCGAGUCUGAUACAGGCGGGAUGAUGCACGCUUUAUCUGGAACCCUUGGCCUUGGAUAAAAUUUGUCUUCUGUAGCAGUUACGUCCAUGGAGCUAAGUCCAGGUCCACCUGCCAUUGCAAUUAUGGCAGGGAAAAGGACAGAGGGAGCUGACGAUUACACCUAACUUUGGAUUUGGGGCACCCUUCUGUUCCCCCACUUCCUGCUUCGCUGACACUCACACCCCCAAAGGCGGUGGCGCAGAAGCUGAAAUCAGGGCUCAGGACUCCAUCUACAGCCAGGCCCACGAGCAGGGUCUGUUCUGAAGGCUCCACCAGCAGCUGUGUCCCAAGCCAACUGGCAAGACACCGUCCCACCCGACAGUGGCUUCCUCCCCGUGGCGUCAUCUCCCUUCCAAAGAGGGAGGAAUUUGGACUAUUACCCACGAACGAUAGCAGGCUAAGAAACAAAUUAUGAUUACGAAAGAUUAAAGAAAAAAAAAACCACCCACACCUACUGGCUGUACCUUUCCUGCAUGAUUUUUGCCACCGCAUGGGAAGCGGGCCAAUUGCUAUUUGCCUGGGUGUUUUAAAUAUCAGGAGAUCAGGAGAUUUGCUCCUGACAUAAUUUUUUUUCGAAGUGCAACAGAAAAUAGCACUUUUCACAACAAUUAACUGUUAACUGGCUCCAAAGAAGGUCUGCUUGUUAGACAUUAGGGAGGAAUAGAAGGCAUCUUCUCAGAUGUUGGCCUUUGCGGAGGCAAGGUCAGUGGUGCCGGGAGGUGACUCCCUGCAUUUCCGUAUGUCCGUUUCUUAAGUCGCACUAUUACUUCCCUUGAGUAAGGGACGUAAUAUUGAGUAAUAUUUAUUGAGCUGUGUGUGAGAGACUGUUUCAGGCUCCGGGAAAACAGCGAACAAAAUAAAAACAAAUUGGCUGCUUU
RNAcentral lists this long non-coding RNA (3114 nucleotides) under Homo sapiens (human). RNAcentral's name for it is "HSALNT0158322". Lineage: Eukaryota; Metazoa; Chordata; Mammalia; Primates; Hominidae. The record is from RNAcentral.